Molecule: ribosomal RNA, 246 nt
Filed under: uncultured bacterium
Lineage: Bacteria
Description: partial small subunit ribosomal RNA
Rfam family: Bacterial small subunit ribosomal RNA
Source: RNAcentral
AGAAUCAACGCUGGCGGCGUGCCUAACACAUGCAAGUCGCACGAGAAAGUGGAGCAAUCCACGAGUAAAGUGGCGCACGGGUGAGUAACACGUGAAUAAUCUACCUCCGAGUGGGGAAUAAACUGAGAGAAAUCUUAGCUAAUACCGCAUAACACUUACGAGUCAAAGCAGCAAUGCGCUUGGAGAGGAGUUCGCGGCCGAUUAGUUAGUUGGCGGGGUAAUGGCCCACCAAGACGAUGAUCGGUA